RNAcentral lists this ribosomal RNA (499 nucleotides) under uncultured bacterium. Its description in RNAcentral is "partial 16S ribosomal RNA". It matches the Rfam family "Bacterial small subunit ribosomal RNA", at positions 899 to 1397 of the family's 1533-position model. The record is from RNAcentral.
ACUCAAAUGAAUUGACGGGGGCCCGCACAAGCGGUGGAGCAUGUGGUUUAAUUCGACGCAACGCGAAGAACCUUACCUACCCUUGACAUCCUCGGAAGCUUGCAGAGAUGUGAGUGUGCCUUCGGGAACCGAGAGACAGGUGCUGCAUGGCUGUCGUCAGCUCGUGUCGUGAGAUGUUGGGUUAAGUCCCGUAACGAGCGCAACCCUUAUGCUUAGUUGCCAGCGGGUAAAGCCGGGAACUUUAAGGAGACUGCCGGUGAUAAGCCGGAGGAAGGUGGGGACGACGUCAAGUCAUCAUGGCCCUUACGGGUAGGGCUACACACGUGCUACAAUGGGCGGUACAGAGGGAAGCGAAGCCGCGAGGUGAAGCGAAUCUCAGAAAGCCGCUCGUAGUCCGGAUUGGAGUCUGCAACUCGACUCCAUGAAGUUGGAAUCGCUAGUAAUCGCGGAUCAGAACGCCGCGGUGAAUACGUUCUCGGGCCUUGUACACACCGCCCGU